This 392-nucleotide ribosomal RNA is filed under the name uncultured bacterium. Its description in RNAcentral is "bacterial SSU rRNA". It matches the Rfam family "Bacterial small subunit ribosomal RNA", at positions 28 to 423 of the family's 1533-position model. The record is from RNAcentral.
GACGAACGCUGGCGGCGUGCUUAACACAUGCAAGUCGAGCGGUAAGGCCCUUUCGGGGGUACACGAGCGGCGAACGGGUGAGUAACACGUGGGUGACCUGCCCUCAGCUCUGGGAUAAGCCCGGGAAACUGGGUCUAAUACCGGAUAUGACUCCAUGACGCAUGUUGUGGGGUGGAAAGCCUUGUGCGGCUGAGGAUGGGCCCGCGGCCUAUCAGCUUGUUGGUGGGUGAUGGCCACCAAGGCGACGACGGGUAGCCGGCCUGAGAGGGCGACCGGCCACACUGGGACUGAGAUACGGCCCAGACUCCUACGGGAGGCAGCAGUGGGGAAUCUUGCGCAAUGGGCGAAAGCCUGACGCAGCGACGCCGCGUGAGGGAUGACGGCCUGUGUAC